UACAUUUUCUGAGGUUUGCCUUCUUAAGUUCACAGAGGAAUAUCUGCAGAGGUGCGGUGGCAAAUUAUUCUGACUUAUAAUGAGACAGUGGGUUGCACAGACACUUUGACAUCAGAGAGGCUAUGCCCCCUGCCCUGGGUUGUGGGCGAAGACAUCGUUAAAACAUCUAAGAACCGAGACCAAGCAACGUCAUCUCAAGCAUGCCAAACCACUAUUCCGUGUUGUGAAUUACUACAAGCGACUUCAUCCAUCCACUUACCUCAUCUUGAGAAUGUACUCCAUCUCUCUAUCCGCAUCGGACGAUGAAUUAUUCAGACGGAAUCAAGACGACCACUUUCGAAGUAUCCAUCAAACCACAUCAGCAGACGCAGCAUCAGAAGCCGAAAGCUGCCUCCUCCAUACCUAAGACCCCGCUUUCCACAGCGCUAUCCAGGACGCAGUGGGACAUCAGGGCCCACUGUCAUUGAGCUCCACUAAUCACAUCAGUUAGCCUUAGCAGGGGAAUUUGCAGGGGCACUAGUAUGCCAGUGCCCACUUCCAGUAACCGAAGCAGCUCAAUCUAGCUCCUGGCACUGGGAUGCGCUCCAAGCAGUCCACUUCCAGAAACCACAGCAGCUGGCUCCAGACUGGCAUUUAGCACUAGGAUACCAGGGCUUCCAGCAACCACAGCAGCUGGAUUCAGUUGGAGCAUUUUGUACCAGCAUGCCAGUACCCUCUGCAGAACACCUCUAGCAACCAUGGCAGCACCAGGAUACCGACUCCCAUCAGUCCAUCACAGCCGUUGCAGCAGCAAGUUCUUUCCAUACUAAACUAAAGUCUUCCUUCUUCACACAUUCCAGCCAACAGGCAACCAUCAACCUCACUGCAUCCACAGGUAAUCCCUCCCAUUUGUCAUCCUAACUAUAUCAUCUCCCAUCCUUCAGUUCCCACUAGUCUAUGCAAAGAUUGUAGUGCUCUUCUUAUCAUGCCCACCAAAAACCUGCCAAAUGACUCCUUGAAGGGAACUUCCUGAGGCACUCUCCAGAGAGUAUGCUUUCUUUUCAUUUGCAAUUUCCCACCCACAUGGAAAUGGACAAUUGUAUAGUCAUUAUUCUAAAUCUGGCCCUACGUUUCGGAGGCAAUAGUUUCUCAUCAUCAUCAUGCCGUUCAAGUGCUGC
Micropterus dolomieu (smallmouth bass) is the source of this 1157-nucleotide long non-coding RNA. RefSeq lists it as uncharacterized. The transcript is spliced from 3 exons. NCBI's taxonomy places the organism in Eukaryota, Metazoa, Chordata, Actinopteri, Centrarchiformes, Centrarchidae. The record is from RefSeq and is a predicted model, not a curated record.